RNAcentral lists this ribosomal RNA (375 nucleotides) under uncultured bacterium. RNAcentral describes it as "bacterial SSU rRNA". It matches the Rfam family "Bacterial small subunit ribosomal RNA", at positions 521 to 896 of the family's 1533-position model. The record is from RNAcentral.
UAAGACGAACCGAGCGAACGUUGUUCGGAAUCACUGGGCUUAAAGGGCGCGUAGGCGGGCGAUCAAGUCAGGGGUGAAAGCCCCCAGCUCAACUGGGGAAGUGCCUCUGAUACUGAUCGUCUCGAGGGGGAUAGGGGCGUGCGGAACUUCCGGUGGAGCGGUGAAAUGCGUAGAUAUCGGAAGGAACACCGGUGGCGAAAGCGGCGCGCUGGAUCCCUUCUGACGCUGAGGCGCGAAAGCCAGGGGAGCAAACGGGAUUAGAUACCCCGGUAGUCCUGGCCCUAAACGUUGGGUACUAGGUUGUGGACUUACAUGGGUUCACAGCCGAAGCAAAAGUGUUAAGUACCCCGCCUGGGGAGUAUGGUCGCAAGGCUG